RNAcentral lists this ribosomal RNA (1344 nucleotides) under uncultured bacterium. RNAcentral describes it as "bacterial SSU rRNA". It matches the Rfam family "Bacterial small subunit ribosomal RNA", at positions 28 to 1381 of the family's 1533-position model. The record is from RNAcentral.
GACGAACGCUGGCGGCGUGCUUAACACAUGCAAGUCGAACGGAAAGGCCCUGCUUGCAGGGUGCUCGAGUGGCGAACGGGUGAGUAACACGUGGGUGAUCUGCCCCUUACUUUGGGAUAAGCUUGGGAAACUGGGUCUAAUACUGGAUAGGACCAUGCUGUAGGUGGUGUGGUGGAAAGAUUAGUUUCGGUAAGGGAUGAGCUCGCGGCCUAUCAGCUUGUUGGUGGGGUAAUGGCCUACCAAGGCGUCGACGGGUAGCCGGCCUGAGAGGGUGGACGGCCACAUUGGGACUGAGAUACGGCCCAGACUCCUACGGGAGGCAGCAGUGGGGAAUAUUGCACAAUGGGCGCAAGCCUGAUGCAGCGACGCCGCGUGGGGGAUGACGGCCUUCGGGUUGUAAACUCCUUUCAGCCACGACGAAGCCCUUGUGGUGACGGUAGUGGUAGAAGAAGCACCGGCUAACUACGUGCCAGCAGCCGCGGUAAUACGUAGGGUGCGAGCGUUGUCCGGAAUUACUGGGCGUAAAGAGCUCGUAGGUGGUCUGUCGCGUCAUUUGUGAAAGCCCGGGGCUUAACUCCGGGUUGGCAGGUGAUACGGGCAUGACUGGAGUACUGUAGGGGAGACUGGAAUUCCUGGUGUAGCGGUGAAAUGCGCAGAUAUCAGGAGGAACACCGGUGGCGAAGGCGGGUCUCUGGGCAGUAACUGACGCUGAGGAGCGAAAGCAUGGGUAGCGAACAGGAUUAGAUACCCUGGUAGUCCAUGCCGUAAACGGUGGGCGCUAGGUGUGGGUUUCCUUCCACGGGAUCCGUGCCGUAGCUAACGCAUUAAGCGCCCCGCCUGGGGAGUACGGCCGCAAGGCUAAAACUCAAAGGAAUUGACGGGGGCCCGCACAAGCGGCGGAGCAUGUGGAUUAAUUCGAUGCAACGCGAAGAACCUUACCUGGGCUUGACAUGCACUGGAUGCGGCCAGAGAUGGUUGUUCCCUUUGUGGCUGGUGUGCAGGUGGUGCAUGGUUGUCGUCAGCUCGUGUCGUGAGAUGUUGGGUUAAGUCCCGCAACGAGCGCAACCCUUGUCUCGUGUUGCCAGCAUUUGGUUGGGGACUCGCGGGAGACUGCCGGGGUUAACUCGGAGGAAGGUGGGGAUGACGUCAAAUCAUCAUGCCCCUUAUGUCCAGGGCUUCACACAUGCUACAAUGGCUGGUACAGAGAGUUGCGAUACCGUGAGGUGGGGCUAAUCUCGUAAAGCCAGUCUCAGUUCGGAUUGGAGUCUGCAACUCGACUCCAUGAAGUCGGAGUCGCUAGUAAUCGCAGAUCAGCAAUGCUGCGGUGAAUACGUUCCCGGGCCU